GGAGUUAGGAAAUGUAAGUGUGCUAAUACCACAUUUAUUUGACGAAGGCUCCAAAGGAAGCCACGGCUAACUCUGUGCCAGCAGCCGCGGUAAUACAGAGGUGGCAAGCGUUGUUCGGAAUUAUUGGGCGUAAAGAGCACGUAGGUGGGCUUGUAAGUCAGAUGUGAAAGCCUUCUGUUCAACGGAAGAAUUGCAUCUGAAACUGCGAGUCUUGAGUGUAGGAGGGGAGAGUGGAACUUCUG
RNAcentral lists this ribosomal RNA (242 nucleotides) under uncultured Planctomycetales bacterium. RNAcentral describes it as "partial 16S ribosomal RNA". It matches the Rfam family "Bacterial small subunit ribosomal RNA", at positions 439 to 672 of the family's 1533-position model. Lineage: Bacteria; Pseudomonadati; Planctomycetota; Planctomycetia; Planctomycetales. The record is from RNAcentral.